Molecule: small nucleolar RNA, 219 nt
Organism: Suncus etruscus (white-toothed pygmy shrew)
Lineage: Eukaryota; Metazoa; Chordata; Mammalia; Eulipotyphla; Soricidae
Product: small nucleolar RNA U3
Exons: 1
Source: RefSeq, a predicted model, not a curated record
AAGACUAUACUUUCAGGGAUCAUUGCUAUAGUAUGUGACUAGAGAAGUUUCUCUGAUCGUGUAGAGCACCCGAAGCCACGAAGAGGAGCCAUAGCAUCCUCCCCUGAGCAUGAAGCCUACUCUAGGUAUCUCUUCUUCGACUGCCUUUGGCCACUGAUGAUCGUUCUUUUCUUCCCUGCCUUUGGAAGGGGUAGAGGAAGAGGAAGCAGUCUGGGUGGU